RNAcentral lists this ribosomal RNA (555 nucleotides) under Batasio tengana. RNAcentral's name for it is "partial 16S ribosomal RNA". It matches the Rfam family "Bacterial large subunit ribosomal RNA", at positions 1850 to 2611 of the family's 2925-position model. The record is from RNAcentral. Lineage: Eukaryota; Metazoa; Chordata; Actinopteri; Siluriformes; Bagridae.
AGGUCUUGCCUGCCCAGUGACAAGUUUAAACGGCCGCGGUAUUUUGACCGUGCGAAGGUAGCGCAAUCACUUGUCUUUUAAAUGAAGACCUGUAUGAAUGGUGGAACGAGGGCUUAACUGUCUCCCUUUUCAGGUCAAUGAAAUUGAUCUCUCCGUGCAGAAGCGGACAUAUAAUUACAAGACGAGAAGACCCUUUGGAGCUUAAGAUAAAAGAUCAACUAUGUCAAGAAACUACUACUAAGCUUAAACUAAAUAGCAACUGAUCUUAAUCUUCGGUUGGGGCGACCACGGGAGAAAAUAAAGCUCCCAUGCGGAAUGGGAUAUUCCCUAAAGCUAAGAGAGACAUCUCUAAGCAGCAGAAAAUCUGACCAAAAGAUCCGGCUACAUAGCCGAUCAACGAACCAAGUUACCCUAGGGAUAACAGCGCAAUCCCCUCCCAGAGUUCAUAUCGACGAGGGGGUUUACGACCUCGAUGUUGGAUCAGGACAUCCUAAUGGUGCAGCCGCUAUUAAGGGUUCGUUUGUUCAACGAUUAAAGUCCUACGUGAUCUGAGUU